RNAcentral lists this ribosomal RNA (494 nucleotides) under uncultured bacterium. Its description in RNAcentral is "partial 16S ribosomal RNA". It matches the Rfam family "Bacterial small subunit ribosomal RNA", at positions 29 to 507 of the family's 1533-position model. The record is from RNAcentral.
ACGAACGCUGGCGGCGUGCCUCAUCCAUGCCAGUAGAACGCUGAAGGAGGAGCUUGCUUCUCUGGAUGAGUUGCGAACGGGUGAGUAACGCGUAGGUAACCUGCCUGGUAGCGGGGGAUAACUAUUGGAAACGAUAGCUAAUACCGCAUAAGAGUAGAUGUUGCAUGACAUUUGCUUAAAAGGUGCAAUUGCAUCACUACCAGAUGGACCUGCGUUGUAUUAGCUAGUUGGUGGGGUAACGGCUCACCAAGGCGACGAUACAUAGCCGACCUGAGAGGGUGAUCGGCCACACUGGGACUGAGACACGGCCCAGACUCCUGCGGGAGGCAGCAGUAGGGAAUCUUCGGCAAUGGACGGAAGUCUGACCGAGCAACGCCGCGUGAGUGAAGAAGGUUUUCGGAUCGUAAAGCUCUGUUGUAAGAGAAGAACGAGUGUGAGAGUGGAAAGUUCACACUGUGACGGUAUCUUACCAGAAAGGGACGGCUAACUACGUG